Molecule: small nuclear RNA, 103 nt
Organism: Ochotona princeps (American pika)
Lineage: Eukaryota; Metazoa; Chordata; Mammalia; Lagomorpha; Ochotonidae
Source: Ensembl
GUCAUCUCGUCAGCAGCACAUAUGGAGAAUUAGAAAGAUACAGAGAUUAGCAUGGCCCCUGCACAAGGAUGACAUGCAAAUUUGUGAGGCAUUCCACCCCCUU